GUCUCUCCCUCUCCUAUUGAAAAAGUGACAGUGCCAGUUGAUAUAUUAUCUAUUAUAUAUUUAAAAAACAACCUGAGGAUUGAUUCUAAAAAACAUUUGACAUGUUUCUGUGGACAUUACGGAUACUAUUUGGAAUUUUCGGCUGCGGUGUCGUGACCGCUCGAGCCUGUGGAUUUUUGAACAUAAUGUGCCAAACAAAUGGAGGAAUUUUUGAUAUGAAAUAAUCUUUAUGGAACAAAAGGAACAUUUAUUGUGUAACUCGGAGUCUCGUGAGUGAAAACAUCCGAAGAUCAUCAAAGGGAGAUACUGGUGGAGGCAGUCUGAUUUUGAGAAAACUUGUACAGCCUCAGUUAAGUGCCAACAAUCCCCAAAGACUCGGACUUGUCCCUCCUGUCCCACUACCAACCAAGCAAGAGUUUCUCAAGAAACAUCAUCAUGGGGCGGCAGGGUAGCCUAGUGGCUAGAGCAUUGGACUAGUAACCAAAAGGUUUCAUGUUCAGAUCCCCGAGCUGACAAGCAUCAAAACUGCCGGAGUAACAGAACCAUGGAUGACUUGGACAACUUGCUGCACAAUAAAAAAUUAACACAAAUCUGUCAUGUAAAAAUCCACGUUUUCAUUUGAAUUCACAUUUAAAAACACUUUACAAGGUAAAGGUGACUUUUAAACUAAAAAAAAUUAGAUUAGAUUAGCUAGAGUAGAGUUAUACCUGGGAGAGAGCAAGCUGGACAGGUAAGAGGUUGGCUAGAGUAAAGUUAUACCUGGGAGAGAGCAGGCUGGACAGAUAACACAUUAGCUAGAGUAGAGUUAUACCUGGGAGAGAGCAGGCUGGACAGGUAACAGGUUGGCUAGAGUAGAGUUAUACCUGGGGGGGAGCAGGCUGGACAGGUAACAGGUUGGCUAGAGUAGAGUUAUA
Oncorhynchus masou masou (cherry salmon) is the source of this 914-nucleotide long non-coding RNA. RefSeq lists it as uncharacterized. The transcript is spliced from 4 exons. NCBI's taxonomy places the organism in Eukaryota, Metazoa, Chordata, Actinopteri, Salmoniformes, Salmonidae. The record is from RefSeq and is a predicted model, not a curated record.